RNAcentral lists this ribosomal RNA (427 nucleotides) under uncultured bacterium. RNAcentral's name for it is "partial 16S ribosomal RNA". It matches the Rfam family "Bacterial small subunit ribosomal RNA", at positions 355 to 774 of the family's 1533-position model. The record is from RNAcentral.
UGGGGAAUAUUGGACAAUGGGCGAAAGCCUGAUCCAGCCAUGCCGCGUGUGUGAAGAAGGUCUUCGGAUUGUAAAGCACUUUAAGUUGGGAGGAAGGGCAGUAAGCUAAUACCUUGCUGUUUUGACGUUACCGACAGAAUAAGCACCGGCUAACUCUGUGCCAGCAGCCGCGGUAAUACAGAGGGUGCAAGCGUUAAUCGGAAUUACUGGGCGUAAAGCGCGCGUAGGUGGUCUGUUAAGUUGGAUGUGAAAGCCCCGGGCUCAACCUGGGAACUGCAUCCAAAACUGGCAGGCUAGAGUACGGUAGAGGGUGGUGGAAUUUCCUGUGUAGCGGUGAAAUGCGUAGAUAUAGGAAGGAACACCAGUGGCGAAGGCGACCACCUGGACUGAUACUGACACUGAGGUGCGAAAGCGUGGGGAGCAAACA